CCGCGUCUUGGGCGAUGUCUCGCCAAGAUCCGUGUCAUGAACUUUGAUUCCCCUGGCGUUCAAUAAAAUCGAGGGUUAUUAUGCUUCUUUUCUCAUCUCUACCAUGGCAGAGAUUGAGAGAGUCAAUGAGAAUGAUGUGCCAGAUGCCCCAGGGUAAGAAUCUGCUCUCUCUCUCUUCUCAAGUUUAUAGCAAUUGAUUCUGGCCCUUUUGUAAUUGGAUCCAAAUCCUAGAGCUUUUCUCUGCCGAGUACCUUGAUUCUAGGUUUGGGUGGGAAAUGAUGGGAAAUUAAGGCUUGGGUAUGGAAUUUUUCAUCAUUUCUAACGAAAAAUUGUUCAUUGUUGUGUGCAUACGUUGUUAAACUUUCACUUUAAGCUUGUUUGGUCAUCUGGGUAGGUGUUUUGUAUGUCAUCUCAUAC
Molecule: small RNA, 417 nt
Filed under: Vigna angularis var. angularis
Lineage: Eukaryota; Viridiplantae; Streptophyta; Magnoliopsida; Fabales; Fabaceae
Description: Non-protein coding transcript
Source: RNAcentral